Molecule: long non-coding RNA, 269 nt
Filed under: Athene cunicularia (burrowing owl)
Lineage: Eukaryota; Metazoa; Chordata; Aves; Strigiformes; Strigidae
Description: lncRNA (ENSACUG00000013751.1)
Source: RNAcentral
GCUUUUCAGAGGUAUGCAUCUCUGUUUUACAGAUGCAGAGAAGGAACUGGGAUAAAGGGACUGCGUAACAGGAAGCAAUGAAUCCUUGUUGAAGCAUCAGACAGCAGGAGCUGUUGGCCAGAUGCUGCUGGAUGCUGACAGGGGAAAGCUGAUUUGGAGACACGCGGCCAGAAAUGUUUGGACACGUCCUCACUUUGAAUCUGGCAUUUGAGUGAGUGUCCCUGCUUCAUGAGGCUUUGAAUUUGAGCCUUGUCUGGUAACCUGCUUUC